CGGCCGUAUCUAGUCACAUUUUACCACCGAAAAAGAAAAGUUUGAAAAAUAAAACUAGGCACGAAAAUGAAUUUGAGUCUGAAGAAAAUGCGGAGAGCUGCAUUCGUUGUCUCAAAUAUGAUAAUCUAAGCGCACAAGAGUUUGACAGUGUGUGGAAAGCGUGUUCCCAAUUUUGAAUAAACCAAAUUAAAGAGGAGACAUCAACGAUAACAUCUAUUAUAGAAGUAUGGCCGUAUUAUAGAACCCCAUCGGGAUAUCGUUUGAUUGAUAUUGAUUUUGGACUAAGUUUCAACAAUAGAAAUGGACUUAUUUUACAUUGGGAAUAUUACUGGAGUUCCAUACUCAAUUUUUUAAAUUCUGACAACAAUGUGAAAGACAAAAAAGUAAAGGCUUUGCUGGAA
Photinus pyralis (common eastern firefly) is the source of this 401-nucleotide long non-coding RNA. RefSeq lists it as uncharacterized. The record is from RefSeq and is a predicted model, not a curated record. The transcript has 3 exons. NCBI's taxonomy places the organism in Eukaryota, Metazoa, Arthropoda, Insecta, Coleoptera, Lampyridae.